This 195-nucleotide unclassified non-coding RNA is filed under the name Clostridium beijerinckii. RNAcentral's name for it is "T-box". The record is from RNAcentral. Lineage: Bacteria; Bacillati; Bacillota; Clostridia; Eubacteriales; Clostridiaceae.
AUAAAAGCUAUGAAGAGAAGAGUAGUUAUGAGGGAAUACUCAGAGAGUUUCCAUUUGGUGUGAGGAAAUUAUGAAAUCAUAAUGAAACAAGUCUCGGAGCUGCAUACGGAUCUUAUAAAGUAAAACUUUUUUUAUUCUUUAGGAAAUUAUAUUCCAAUAAAAUCUGUGGAUAACUUAAAAAAGGUUGAUUGAUUA